UGAAAAGAAUUUAACCACGCUCAGAACACAUUACUACCCGGGAAUACCCGAUAAGUGUUCGUUCGAACCAGGUCAAGUUCGUCUUGGUGAACAUACUGAUUUUGGAUCUUUUACUAUUUUGUUUCAAGAUAAAGUGGGCGGACUGCAGGUAAGGGCACAGAUGGAGAAUACGUGGAUGCCACUCCUAUACCGGGAACAGCAUAAGUAAACAUAGGAGAUGCUUUGCAGUUUUGGACACAAGGAAGACUCAAAUCAACGAUGCUGAAAUGUGAAAAUGGAGAAACAACAGAAUGAUCAAGAGUACAACAUUGUCAAAUACCACCAAACAGAUGGAACAACAACUCCACAUUCUACCGAGUUGAUUUCGGAUGCACAUUGGAUCAAUCAAAUUCAUUGUAUUAUUGUUCAUAAUUAGGCACUAAAAAAAGUAUAUAUAUAUAUGGAAAAAUAUAGAACGACUGCGAAAUUUAUCCGA
Molecule: non-coding RNA, 475 nt
Organism: Styela clava
Lineage: Eukaryota; Metazoa; Chordata; Ascidiacea; Stolidobranchia; Styelidae
Source: RefSeq, a predicted model, not a curated record